GACGAACGCUGGCGGCGUGCUUAACACAUGCAAGUCGAGCGGUAAGGCCCUUUCGGGGGUACACGAGCGGCGAACGGGUGAGUAACACGUGGGUGACCUGCCCUCAGCUCUGGGAUAAGCCCGGGAAACUGGGUCUAAUACUGGAUAUGACUCCAUGACGCAUGUUGUGGGGUGGAAAGCCUUGUGCGGCUGAGGAUGGGCCCGCGGCCUAUCAGCUUGUUGGUGGGGNGAUGGCCUACCAAGGCGACGACGGGUAGCCGGCCUGAGAGGGCGACCGGCCACACUGGGACUGAGAUACGGCCCAGACUCCUACGGGAGGCAGCAGUGGGGAAUCUUGCGCAAUGGGCGAAAGCCUGACGCAGCGACGCCGCGUGAGGGAUGACGGCCU
RNAcentral lists this ribosomal RNA (388 nucleotides) under uncultured bacterium. RNAcentral's name for it is "bacterial SSU rRNA". It matches the Rfam family "Bacterial small subunit ribosomal RNA", at positions 28 to 417 of the family's 1533-position model. The record is from RNAcentral.